RNAcentral lists this ribosomal RNA (301 nucleotides) under uncultured bacterium. RNAcentral describes it as "partial 16S ribosomal RNA". It matches the Rfam family "Bacterial small subunit ribosomal RNA", at positions 509 to 807 of the family's 1533-position model. The record is from RNAcentral.
CAGCAGCCGCGGGUAAUACGAGGGGUGCAAGCGUUAUUCGGAUUGAUUGGGUGUAAAGGGUGUGCAGACGGCUUAUUAAGUCAUUUGUUAAAUUCUUCGGCCUAACUGAAGGUCUGCAAGUGAUACUGAUGAGCUAGAGGGUGGAAGAGAGAAGUGGAAUUCUCGGAGUAGCGGUAAAAUGCGUAGAUCUCGAGAGGAACACCAAUGGCGAAGGCAGCUUCUUGGUCCAUUUCUGACGUUCAUACACGAAAGCGUGGGGAGCAAACAGGAUUAGAUACCCCAGUAGUCCUGUCUCUUAUAC